CUCCUGACCUCAGGUGAUCCGCCUGCCUCGGCCUCCCAAAGUGCUGGGAUUACAGGCAUGAGCCACCAUGCCUGGCCUUAAGUGUGUAUUUUGUAGCUAAAAGCUAGUCUUUUAAAUACAUAUUUUUUAUUUUAGCCGUCUUCAGUAGAAGUAUUUCUAAAAUGUAUUAAAUGCUCCAUUAAUUUAUCCCAAUAUUCUGAACACAGUGUAAUAUUUUUAUAUGGAUUCAAGUUCAUUACAAAUACCAUUGCCCUGUAUUUUAGGCUUGUUAUAGGGGUGUUGACGUCUGUUUCAAACACCAAAAUGGCCUAAGACUGAUUAUGUUCUCGCUUUCAUGAAUGUGUAAGCUUCCAUACCUUUCACAGUCACUUCCUUCUCUUCCCUUUCUAAUCCACUGUAGACUGAGAAACCUGAUGAACAGGUUUAUUAGAAUUAUGCUGAAAAGAAGACAAAGUGAGCUAGAAGGAAUUGGAAAUGGCUCUUCUGAGUGUGACACCUUUACCCAUUAGUCAGGGACUAAUCCAGCGCCACGAGUCUUUUAUACUUAUUUCUGGAUCCUUGGCUACACUUCAAAUAGGAUUGAUCUAGUCUUUUCUACCACCUCUGACGACUGGCAUAAAGCAAGACUUGAAAAGCAAGACAUAUAUUCCCAAAUACAAAGGGACGCUAAAAAAAAAAAUGAAACAGUGCUGGUAAGAUAGCUAAUAAGAGAG
Chlorocebus sabaeus (green monkey) is the source of this 713-nucleotide non-coding RNA. The record is from RefSeq and is a predicted model, not a curated record. NCBI's taxonomy places the organism in Eukaryota, Metazoa, Chordata, Mammalia, Primates, Cercopithecidae.